Molecule: long non-coding RNA, 2338 nt
Organism: Homo sapiens (human)
Lineage: Eukaryota; Metazoa; Chordata; Mammalia; Primates; Hominidae
Gene: OIP5-AS1
Product: OIP5 antisense RNA 1
Source: Ensembl
AAGCUGCGAAGAUGGCGGAGUAAGGCGUGCCGCUGCAAACUGGCCUCUGGGCCGGGGGCGAGCAGCCCCCGGGAGGCCGAGUGCAUCUGUUGGACCGUGCGAGGAGAAGAAAAAAAAUAUCGGCCAGAGGAGAGGAACUAACCGAACAUUCUUCCUCCCUACCUUAUAGAGGGGAGUGGUCAUCUACACUAAAGCAAAGUGUUAGGCGCGUCCGUGCGAAGAGACCACCAAACAGGCUUUGUGUUCCUUAUCACAGGAAGAAAAUUUUCCUUGACCUUUAGGUGCUUUUAUAUUCAUCUCAAAAACAAAAUUCUGAACUCAGGACUUGGCAAGAGGUGCAAGCGAAGAUGCAGUGCUACCUUAUUUUUCAUUUUUAUUUUUUGGAGACAGAGUCUCACUCUGUUGCCCAAGCUGAGUGCAGUGGUGCAAUCAUGGCUCACUGCAACCUCAACCUCCAGGGCUCAAGCGAUCCUCCUGCUUCAGCCUCCUCCAAAGUAGCUGGGACCACAAGAGGGCACCACCACGCCCUGCUAAUUUUUUAUUUUUUGUAGAGUGGGGUCUUGAUAUGUUGCCCAGGCUGGUCUUGAACUCCGGACCUGGUGAUCCACCCACUUCGGCUUCCCGAAGUGCUGGGUUUACAGAUGUAAGCCACUGCACCCGGCCUAUUCUUUUCUUUACAUUUUAGAUAUUGUUUUGAGUCAGCUUAUGCAAAAGUACCUGUCCUAAUCUUUCUGUUUUUAUUUUGUAUUUCUAGGUGUCUCUAUGUUGUCUCCUAGAGUGGGUAGUCCUGCUUCUUUUACCCAGUUACUUUCCCGUUUUUGAAAUGUGGCUAUCACUUCUCUACACAUUACCUCCAUGAUUUGGAAUGGAAAAGGCCACUUUUCUUUUUGUUCUGCCUCUCAAAUUCAACACAGAGGAGCUCCUAGGAUUCCAGUUAUCCUGCUAACAUCUCCAGGAAGAAAGAAGCAACUCACAUGGGUCUUUUGCUGUUUGCUUAAUUAUAAAGACAUCAUUUUGCAAGCAGAAGGCUGAGUUUCAUUUGAAACAGGUGCUUAGGUGGUGGUAUUUGUGAAUACUUUUCAUUCCAAGCAAGAAGACUAAAGAAGUAGCAAGUAUGAAUGACUUCAGGGUUUAAAAAAAAUGUCUUCCAGUUUCAGCCACUACCAUGAUAAGCACAGUUGAGACUGCAGCAGUAAAUUCCAAAUAUGUGUUUCUAAUUUGACGUGAAAGAUACUAAAAAUUUAUAUUUGUAUAUUUAAAUCCUGGCUCAUCCUGUGACAUAGAUUUACUGAAUAGGAACAAAGGCCCAAUUUUAAACAAAAACCUAGGCCGGGUGUGGUGGCUCACACCUGUAAUCCCAACACUUUGGGAGGCCAAGGCAGGCAAAUCACCUGAGGUUGGGAGUUUGAGACCAGCCUGACCAACAUGGAGAAACCCCAUCUCUACUAAAAAUAGAAAAUUAGCCAGGUGUGGUGGUAGAUACGUGUAAUCCCAGCUACUCGUGAGGCUGAGGCAGGAGAAUUGCUUGAAUCCGGGAGGCGGAGGUUGCAGUGAACUGAGAUUGCACCACUGCACUCCAGCCUGGGCGACAGAGUGAGACUCCGUCUCAGAAAAAUAAAAAACAACUUUGGACAUAGAGGAGUUGGGGGCAGAGGGGGGAGGAUGAGAGAAUUUUCCAUGUAACUCCUUUUCCUUAAGAAAAAGAAGCAAAAAUCCCUCAUGCAGUGCCAUCUGACUUUAUGGUGUUUCACAUUAUAUAGUUACUUUUUUUAAUAAACGCAUAAGAUUAACUCUUCCUGCAACCCAAGGUGGAUACUUGGAUGUUUGAUUUUUAUUUAUUUAUUUAUUUAUUUUUUGAGGCAGUCUCUCUCUGUUGCCCAGGCUGGAGUGAUGCGUGAUUUCUGCUCACUGCAGUCUCUCCCACCCGGGUUCAAGCGAUUCUCCUGCCUCAGCCUCCCAAGUAGCUAGGAUUACAGGCGCGCACCACCACGCUCAGCCUGAUUUCUAGGCUGAAAAGGCUGGGACUCAGGUACUUUCCCCAGUUGGGACUGAACUUUCUCAUCAGAGAAUGGGCCUCAGAAGCAAUGUUCCCAAACUUGUGGUUGGGUCAUCGUGGAAAAGAAACCUCAAAUAAGAAAAAUAAUUACAAUAAGAAAUGGAUUUUCUUUUUUCCCACAACAGUUAUACAUUAUAAAGAACAGACUGUCGUAGAAAACUGUCUUUGCUUCCAAAUCAGCAGAGGACCAUUGUAUGUAUUGUCAGGUCUUUAUAUAAGAGUGAAACCUUUAUUUAUGCUUCUUGUGAGUAGAGAAUAAAUUUUAAAACUAAUUAGAUGAAA